This is a long non-coding RNA of Entelurus aequoreus (snake pipefish), 1002 nucleotides long. RefSeq lists it as uncharacterized. The transcript is spliced from 3 exons. Lineage: Eukaryota; Metazoa; Chordata; Actinopteri; Syngnathiformes; Syngnathidae. The record is from RefSeq and is a predicted model, not a curated record.
GUUCCUGUUCCUGCAUUAAUGUGAAGCAGGUAAAGUGCUGUUUCCAGCAUUUAGACCAGACCACAAUAGCAAGCGUUUGACCUUGUUCGCUCCUCCAUCUUCUUCCCUGAUGGAGGCAGAAGAAGGUGGAGCGAGGGCAAUUAAAGGACAGUCAGCAGAAGGACGUGGAGGACAAAUCUUGCGUUGCCCACACACGCCCCUCCCCACCCCAACCCACCCUCGACCCCCUCCCCCUGCCAAACUGCUGACAAGGACGCACUCGGGCGCCGGCUAAAAGCCGGGUGGGCUCCUCGGGGAGGUCUAAUGGGGGCUCUUCGUACCUACCUUUGUCCAGCAGCUGGUUGAAGAGGGACACGUUGGAGAAGAAGAAGAGGGUGUAGAUAAUAAUAUUCUGCUGAGAAGAAAUGAAGAACUUUACGACAAUACGAGGGUUUACCUGAAGGACCCUGCGUACUGGCUCUGGGAAUCCUACACCUCCUUUCCAGCAAGGCUCGGAGCUGUCCAUGGGGAAGGGAUUACAGUCCAAAAGACCUGGAAGGACUACGUACAGAGCCUAAGAACACACAACACACACGUAAUAAAAAACAACAACAGAGUAGACAGUUUUCUACAAAAACCAGCAUUUGGAAGGAAAGGGGGUCUUGUGGACCUUGGUGAUGUAGUAGACACACUGCUGGAAGGUGUACAUGAUGACUUCCUCCAGGAUGCUCAUGGCCUCCUCGUUGGCUGAGAUGGUCGCCGACAGCAGAGACUCCUUGGAUCCUGAGGCCGGAUAACCAAAAAGAGGUGAGGUCCCCGCAUCGUCGUAAUGACCAGUUAGUGUGUGUGUGCGCACCUUGCAGUAUCUCCAUGUUGUGCGUGUACGACGGCGCUCGCUGCUGAAUGAAGUACAAGAUCUCGAUGGAGUUGGACAUCCAGAAGAAGACGGUCUGCAGGUCCGGGAUCAGGUCUGAGAUGUUGAGCAGGGACAGGGACGACGGGUCCUGACUGCAAGUGCACAAU